Molecule: ribosomal RNA, 500 nt
Filed under: uncultured bacterium
Lineage: Bacteria
Description: bacterial SSU rRNA
Rfam family: Bacterial small subunit ribosomal RNA
Source: RNAcentral
AACAAACGCUGGCGGCGUGCCUAACACAUGCAAGUCGAACGAGAAAGUCGGUUUCGGCCGAUGAGUAAAGUGGCGCACGGGUGAGUAACGCGUGGAUAAUCUACCCUUUAGUCCGGAAUAACUUGCCGAAAGGUGAACUAAUACCGGAUGACAUCCCGGGUUCUCCGGAAACCGGGAUCAAAGAAGGCCUCUGCUUGCAAGCUUUUGCUGAAGGAUGAGUCCGCGUACCAUUAGCUAGUUGGUGGGGUAAUGGCCUACCAAGGUUAUGAUGGUUAGCUGGUCUGAGAGGAUGAUCAGCCACACUGGAACUGAAACACGGUCCAGACUCCUACGGGAGGCAGCAGUGAGGAAUAUUGCGCAAUGGGGGCAACCCUGACGCAGCAACGCCGCGUGAGUGAGGAAGGUUUUCGGAUUGUAAAGCUCUGUCGAGCGGAAAGAAAUGCACGAUGGCUAAUAUCCAUCAUGCUUGACGGUACCGCUAGAGGAAGCACCGGCUAACG